GCUGGGAAGGCAAAGGGACGU
RNAcentral lists this microRNA (21 nucleotides) under Lepisosteus oculatus (spotted gar). RNAcentral describes it as "Loc-Mir-204-P2_3p* (star (passenger))". Lineage: Eukaryota; Metazoa; Chordata; Actinopteri; Semionotiformes; Lepisosteidae. RNAcentral also lists the same sequence under 28 other names. The record is from RNAcentral.